RNAcentral lists this ribosomal RNA (459 nucleotides) under uncultured bacterium. RNAcentral describes it as "partial 16S ribosomal RNA". It matches the Rfam family "Bacterial small subunit ribosomal RNA", at positions 338 to 795 of the family's 1533-position model. The record is from RNAcentral.
CCUACGGGUGGCAGCAGUGAGGAAUAUUGGUCAAUGGCCGGAAGGCUGAACCAGCCAAGCCGCGUGAAGGACGAAGGUGCAAAGCAUUGUAAACUUCUUUUGUCAAGGGACAAAAUCAGGCUCGAGAGCCUGACCGAGGGUACGUGCAGAAAAAGCAUCGGCUAACUCCGUGCCAGCAGCCGCGGUAAUACGGAGGAUGCGAGCGUUAUCCGGUUUUAUUGGGUUUAAAGGGUGCGUAGGCGGGAGGUUAAGUGAGCGGUAAAAGCCCGGGGCACAACGCCGGCGUGCCGUUGAAACUGGCUGUCUUGAGUGGGCGAGAGGUAUGCGGAAUGCGCAGUGUAGCGGUGAAAUGCUUAGAUAUUGCGCAGAACUCCGAUUGCGAAGGCAGCAUACCGGCCGCGAUCUGACGCUGAGGCACGAAAGCGUGGGUAUCGAACAGGAUUAGAUACCCGAGUAGUC